RNAcentral lists this ribosomal RNA (496 nucleotides) under uncultured bacterium. RNAcentral's name for it is "partial 16S ribosomal RNA". It matches the Rfam family "Bacterial small subunit ribosomal RNA", at positions 28 to 506 of the family's 1533-position model. The record is from RNAcentral.
GACGAACGCUGGCGGCGUGCCUAAUACAUGCAAGUUGAGCGCUGAAGGUUGGUACUUGUACCAACUGGAUGAGCAGCAAACGGGUGAGUAACGCGUGGGGAAUCUGCCUUUGAGCGGGGGACAACAUUUGGAAACGAUUGCUAAUACCGCAUAAAAACUUUAAACACAAGUUUUAAGUUUGAAAGAUGCAAUUGCAUCACUCAAAGAUGAUCCCGCGUUGUAUUAGCUAGUUGGUGAGGUAAAGGCUCACCAAGGCGAUGAUACAUAGCCGACCUGAGAGGGUGAUCGGCCACAUUGGGACUGAGACACGGCCCAAACUCCUACGGGAGGCAGCAGUAGGGAAUCUUCGGCAAUGGACGAAAGUCUGACCGAGCAACGCCGCGUGAGUGAAGAAGGUUUUCGGAUCGUAAAACUCUGUUGGUAGAGAAGAACGUUGGUGAGAGUGGAAAGCUCAUCAAGUGACGGUAACUACCCAGAAAGGGACGGCUAACUACGU